This 326-nucleotide ribosomal RNA is filed under the name Allapsidae sp. RNAcentral's name for it is "SSU rRNA". It matches the Rfam family "Eukaryotic small subunit ribosomal RNA", at positions 633 to 955 of the family's 1831-position model. RNAcentral also lists the same sequence under 1 other name. The record is from RNAcentral. Lineage: Eukaryota; Cercozoa; Glissomonadida; Viridiraptoridae.
GAUUUCUGGUUUGACGUACCUGUCCCAUGACGGUAACGUCAUUGUGUGACGGUGUAUGUCUGCCAUCCUUCUAGAGAGUGUAAGCUGCCCUUUACUGGGUUGGUUUAUAUCAUCUAGAUCUUUUACUUUGAAAAAAUUAGAGUGUUUCAAGCAGGCGUUACAGCUAUGAAUACAUUAGCAUGGAAUAAUAAGCUAGGACUUCGGUUCUAUUUUGUUGGUUUCUAGGACUGAAGUAAUGAUUGAUAGGGACAGUUGGGGGUGCUAGUAUUCAGCGGCCAGAGGUGAAAUUCUUGGAUUCGCUGAAGACUAACUUAUGCGAAAGCAUU